UAUGGGAUGGAGUAGAGGUGUCUCGUUAGGCUCAUAACCUAAAGGUCGCAGGUUCGAAUCCUGCUCCCGUUG
This 72-nucleotide transfer RNA is filed under the name Candidatus Hodgkinia cicadicola. RNAcentral's name for it is "tRNA-Met". It matches the Rfam family "tRNA". Rfam says of the family: Transfer RNA (tRNA) molecules are approximately 80 nucleotides in length. Their secondary structure includes four short double-helical elements and three loops (D, anti-codon, and T loops). The record is from RNAcentral. Lineage: Bacteria; Pseudomonadati; Pseudomonadota; Alphaproteobacteria; Hyphomicrobiales.